This 253-nucleotide ribosomal RNA is filed under the name uncultured bacterium. RNAcentral's name for it is "partial 16S ribosomal RNA". It matches the Rfam family "Bacterial small subunit ribosomal RNA", at positions 524 to 776 of the family's 1533-position model. The record is from RNAcentral.
GACGGAGGAUGCAAGCGUUAUCCGGAAUGAUUGGGCGUAAAGCGUCUGCAGGUGGCAGUUCAAGUCUGCUGUCAAAGACCGGGGCUUAACUUCGGAAAGGCAGUGGAAACUGAACAGCUAGAGUAUGGUAGGGGCAGAGGGAAUUCCUGGUGUAGCGGUGAAAUGCGUAGAGAUCAGGAAGAACAUCGGUGGCGAAGGCGAGUCUCUGGACGACACCUGACACUGAGGCACGAAAGCUAGGGGAGCAAACAGG